Molecule: ribosomal RNA, 433 nt
Filed under: uncultured bacterium
Lineage: Bacteria
Description: partial 16S ribosomal RNA
Rfam family: Bacterial small subunit ribosomal RNA
Source: RNAcentral
AACGAACGCUGGCGGCAGGCCUAACACAUGCAAGUCGAGCGAGGACUUCGGUUCUAGCGGCGGACGGGUGAGUAACGCGUGGGAAUGUGCCCUUCUCUACGGAAUAGCCCUGGGAAACUGGGAGUAAUACCGUAUACGCCCUAUUGGGGAAAGAUUUAUCGGAGAAGGAUCAGCCCGCGUUGGAUUAGGUAGUUGGCGGGGUAAUGGCCUACCAAGCCGACGAUCCAUAGCUGGUUUGAGAGGAUGAUCAGCCACACUGGGACUGAGACACGGCCCAGACUCCUACGGGAGGCAGCAGUGGGGAAUCUUAGACAAUGGGGGCAACCCUGAUCUAGCCAUGCCGCGUGAGUGAUGAAGGCCUUAGGGUUGUAAAGCUCUUUCAGCUGGGAAGAUAAUGACGGUACCAGCAGAAGAAGCCCCGGCUAACUCCGUG